Notolabrus celidotus (New Zealand spotty) is the source of this 1257-nucleotide long non-coding RNA. RefSeq lists it as uncharacterized. Lineage: Eukaryota; Metazoa; Chordata; Actinopteri; Labriformes; Labridae. The transcript is spliced from 2 exons. The record is from RefSeq and is a predicted model, not a curated record.
CCUCUCUACACCCUAAACCCCUAAUUGACGUCACCUGGAAAGUGGUUGAGUGCACAAGGCUACAAGGGCUCUAAAUGGUAUAACUAGGAAGGAGAUAGCACGUUGCAACUUCUCAGGUCCUGUGAUGUUUGCCAACUGACCACAGCUGAAGCAGCUACUGACCAAUAGCCACAUGAGCUCAACUCAGUGAGUGACUUUCAUACUUUUGAUCCACCAACUAUCAGGAAAACUUCUCUGCACUAUCAAAGCACCAUCACUCCUCGGAGAGGGCUUGUCUUUCUUAUCACAACAAGGACCCUGCCUCUGCCUAACACAACUGGACUCCAGCUCCUGGGUGGUCUCAGGGCUUUGAUGCAUAAUCACGGUGCCUAGCUGUUCCAAGAAGACAUGGAAGGCAGCGAGAAUGCCUCAUUUCAGCUAAAUAGGAAUUGCCUGAUAACAUCGAUGGGAAUGAUGAGGCAAGCUGUUGUAAAGCCCAGCUCCUCAAAAUGAAGAAAAUGAAAAUGUAUCAUCAAGGUGGAGAAAUGUGAAACUGAAAAAUCUCAUGUAUUACUAAGAUUAUGGUGAUUUCAUAGUUAUUAACGUUAAAUCCAUGCAUUCGUUCCAUGACCAUAUUUGAAUAUUGGGGAAGCUUAUGUGUGUCCAAUCCUUGAGAGGUAGUGUAGCACAGUGGGGCUUGUUGCGGAUGUUCAAAAACAGACUUAAGUGAAGGUCUGAAUCCUCUAUUCCCUUCUCUACUGCCACUCUUCUGCGUUUCCUCUGACCUGGACCUGGACCUGGACCUGGACCUGGACCUGGACCUGAGGAGAGGAGGACAGUGAAGGGGGCGUGGUCUCUUCUUGUCUACUCCAUUUCCUGCCUUCCACACCAGCUCUAAUUGGAAAUUUGGGUGGCCCUGUUUAUUUACAUGGUUGAAAUGCUGCGAGGUUGUAUUUAUAUUUUCAUGGCGCGUUCUCAGCAGUGCUGCAUUACAUAGCCUUCCCCUGAGAUCACUGUGGGAGAGGGAGAGGAGUGUAGAGUGGUUGAAUGUGUACGUGCAUGUGCGUGUGUGGGGAAGAUGAUGGAGGUUGUAUGAGGUCUGAUUUCCUUCAUGGUGAAAUUGCAUUUAAAGAUCUUAAAGUCAAGCCUCUGAUUUAUCAAUGUUUCCUCAUAGGAAAAUCAAAUAUAUUAUGAAAUAUCUGCAAAUUUGAUUUGACUGUCAUAAUAGGAUGCAUUUCCCCCAAAAACGUGACAUAAAAAAUGAAGAUGAAACUGAAA